UACGUAGGGGGCUAGCGUUGUCCGGAAUCAUUGGGCGUAAAGAGCGUGUAGGCGGUCCGGUAAGUCCGCUGUGAAAGUCGGGGGCUCAACCCUCGAAUGCCGGUGGAUACUGUCGGGCUAGAGUGCGGAAGAGGCGAGUGGAAUUCCUGGUGUAGCGGUGAAAUGCGUAGAUAUCGAGAGGAACACCUGCGGCGAAGGCGGGUUGCUGGGCUGAUACUGACGCUGAGGCGCGAAAGCCAGGGGAGCGAACGGG
RNAcentral lists this ribosomal RNA (253 nucleotides) under uncultured bacterium. RNAcentral describes it as "partial 16S ribosomal RNA". It matches the Rfam family "Bacterial small subunit ribosomal RNA", at positions 524 to 776 of the family's 1533-position model. The record is from RNAcentral.